AGAUACCGGAAGGUGUGCUUGGAAA
RNAcentral lists this ribosomal RNA (25 nucleotides) under Ischnocnema cf. randorum CC-2012. RNAcentral's name for it is "partial 12S ribosomal RNA". Lineage: Eukaryota; Metazoa; Chordata; Amphibia; Anura; Brachycephalidae. The record is from RNAcentral.